GGCAGCAGCCGCGGUAAGACGUAGGGGGCGAGCGUUGUCCGGAAUUACUGGGCGUAAAGAGCACGUAGGCGGGAAUUUAAGUCAGAUGUGAAAGACCGGGGCUCAACUCCGGGGUUGCAUUUGAAACUGAAUUUCUUGAGGGCAGGAGAGGAAAGCAGAAUUCCUGGUGUAGCGGUGAAAUGCGUAGAAAUCAGGAGGAAUACCAGUGGCGAAGGCGGCUUUCUGGACUGACCCUGACGCUGAGGUGCGAAAGCGUGGGUAGCAAACAGGAUUAGAUACCCUGGUAGUCCACGCCGUAAACGAUGGAUACUAGGUGUGGGAGGUAUCGACCCCUUCCGUGCCGCAGCUAACGCAAUAAGUAUCCCGCCUGGGGAGUACGAUCGCAAGGUUGAAACUCAAAGGAAUUGACGGGGGCCCGCACAAGCGGUGGAGCAUGUGGUUUAAUUCGAUGCAACGCGAAGAACCUUACCAGGUCUUGACAUCCAACGAAUCCUGAUGAAAAUCGGGAGUGCCUUCGGGAGCGUUGAGACAGGUGGUGCAUGGUUGUCGUCAGCUCGUGUCGUGAGAUGUUGGGUUAAGUCCCGCAACGAGCGCAACCCCUGCUAUUAGUUGCUAACAGGUAGAGCUGAGCACUCUAAUGGGACUGCCGGUGACAAGCCGGAGGAAGGUGGGGAUGACGUCAAAUCAUCAUGCCCUUUAUGACCUGGGCUACACACGUGCUACAAUGGAUGGUACAGAGAGCUGCGAGACCGUGAGGUGGAGCGAAUCUCAAAAAGCCAUUCUCAGUUCGGAUUGGAGUCUGCAACUCGACUCCAUGAAGUCGGAAUCGCUAGUAAUCGCGAAUCAGCAUGUCGCGGUGAAUGCGUUCCCGGGCCUUGUACACACCGCCCGUCACACCACGAAAGUCGGCAACACCCGAAGCCGGUGACUUAACUUGUAAAAGAGAGAGCCGUCGAAGGUGGGGUUGGUGAUUGGGGUGAAGUCGUAACAAGGUAACCA
Molecule: ribosomal RNA, 999 nt
Filed under: uncultured Syntrophomonas sp.
Lineage: Bacteria; Bacillati; Bacillota; Clostridia; Eubacteriales; Syntrophomonadaceae
Description: bacterial SSU rRNA
Rfam family: Bacterial small subunit ribosomal RNA
Source: RNAcentral